Salvia hispanica is the source of this 472-nucleotide long non-coding RNA. RefSeq lists it as uncharacterized. Lineage: Eukaryota; Viridiplantae; Streptophyta; Magnoliopsida; Lamiales; Lamiaceae. The record is from RefSeq and is a predicted model, not a curated record.
UUGAUAGGUUCACAAAAUGUGGGGGGCAGCCAAAGCAUUAGGUUUUGGGAGGAAGAGUGAGGCUAAGGCAAAGCCUAAGGAAGCCACUAAGGCUAAGGCUAAUCCAAAAGAAGCCCCGAAGGCUAAGGCCAAGGGUGGGAAACCAAAGAGUGAAUCAAUUCUAGCUCAACCUUUCUCAAAGAUGGAUAGUGCCAAAGUCAAAGAUAACAACACCAGUGCUGCUAAUCAUCUGUUGGGAAACAAUAAAGUUGCGGGCACAACUUCAUUUGGAGCUCGACAGACCAUCCAAAUCCCGCGCAUUAUCGGAUCGGUCUCUAAAUAGUGCCCUUUGACUGUGGACGAGGAUUACAAAUAAUGCUAGAGUGUAUGCUGCUCUUUAAUUUCUGUGUUUUGUUGUACUGGCUGUAUUUCUUUUGUAACUGUUUUUGAUAAAGAGUUUACUUUUUAUCAAUAUGUUGAUUUUGCAUUGUCA